UCGGCCUUCUAAGCCGAGGGUCGGGGGUUCGAACCCCUCCGGGCAGGCCA
This 50-nucleotide transfer RNA is filed under the name Limnobacter sp. RNAcentral describes it as "tRNA-Ser". It matches the Rfam family "tRNA", at positions 26 to 71 of the family's 71-position model. From Rfam's summary of the family: Transfer RNA (tRNA) molecules are approximately 80 nucleotides in length. Their secondary structure includes four short double-helical elements and three loops (D, anti-codon, and T loops). Lineage: Bacteria; Pseudomonadati; Pseudomonadota; Betaproteobacteria; Burkholderiales; Burkholderiaceae. The record is from RNAcentral.